Molecule: ribosomal RNA, 483 nt
Filed under: uncultured bacterium
Lineage: Bacteria
Description: partial 16S ribosomal RNA
Rfam family: Bacterial small subunit ribosomal RNA
Source: RNAcentral
AUUGAACGCUGGCGGCAGGCCUAACACAUGCAAGUCGAGCGGAUGAAGGGAGCUUGCUCCUGGAUUCAGCGGCGGACGGGUGAGUAAUGCCUAGGAAUCUGCCUGGUGGUGGGGGAUAACGUCCGGAAACGGGCGCUAAUACCGCAUACGUCCUGAGGGAGAAAGGGGGGAUCUUCGGACCUCACGCUAUCAGAUGAGCCUAGGUCGGAUUAGCUAGUUGGUGGGGUAAAGGCCUACCAAGGCGACGAUCCGUAACUGGUCUGAGAGGAUGAUCAGUCACACUGGAACUGAGACACGGUCCAGACUCCUACGGGAGGCAGCAGUGGGGAAUAUUGGACAAUGGGCGAAAGCCUGAUCCAGCCAUGCCGCGUGUGUGAAGAAGGUCUUCGGAUUGUAAAGCACUUUAAGUUGGGAGGAAGGGCAGUAAGUUAAUACCUUGCUGUUUUGACGUUACCAACAGAAUAAGCACCGGCUAACUUCGUG